This is a long non-coding RNA of Anthonomus grandis grandis, 405 nucleotides long. RefSeq lists it as uncharacterized. Lineage: Eukaryota; Metazoa; Arthropoda; Insecta; Coleoptera; Curculionidae. The record is from RefSeq and is a predicted model, not a curated record. The transcript has 3 exons.
UGAGAACGUGUCGCAAUUGAGUUUAAUGUGCAUUAUUUUAAGUUACUUCUAGUAUUUUGGGCGUUUGAAAUAUUUUUUUUAUUUAUAACACAAGAGGAUGAUCCGACAAGGCUCUAGGGAAGACAUGUUUUACGUUUUUACCAGAAUCAAGGAUGUAAUUUUGCAGAUUCCAUAACAAUAAAGCACAUAUAUUAUAAUGAAAAUGACACACAUUAAUGUCGUCCUGAUACAACGUCGAUUAACUUAGAGAUGAAGAUUGAAUUCAGUUAUCUAUUAGCUAUAAUGAAGUUUUGUGUAGCUUGGGAGCGAAAAGGAUCCGUAGCAAUUUUCAAGUCGACUCCUCAUUAGAAACGUACUUAUUUAUAUGAAGCUUAUAAUAUUUGGACAAAUCGUGCUUAAGUGAUG